This 77-nucleotide ribosomal RNA is filed under the name Staphylococcus aureus. RNAcentral's name for it is "partial 16S ribosomal RNA". It matches the Rfam family "Bacterial small subunit ribosomal RNA", at positions 1457 to 1533 of the family's 1533-position model. RNAcentral also lists the same sequence under 2 other names. The record is from RNAcentral. Lineage: Bacteria; Bacillati; Bacillota; Bacilli; Caryophanales; Staphylococcaceae.
CGAAGGUGGGACAAAUGAUUGGGGUGAAGUCGUAACAAGGUAGCCGUAUCGGAAGGUGCGGCUGGAUCACCUCCUUU